AAAUACCAAGCAAAUAAGGAUGUCAAUUGUCACAGUGCAGCUUGGGCAGUGUGGGAACCAGAUUGGGCACGAGGUGUUCAGUGCUCUCUGCAGUGACAGCUGUGGCACCCACGGGCUGUGCUCCAAAAAUGAGAACCAAUCCUACCAAGCUUCCUGCAGGGAACGGUUCUUCUGCGAGGAGCGAUCUGCAGUGCCUGUUGCCCGGGCUGUGCUCGUGGACAUGGAGCCCAAAGUGAUCAGCCAGGCCUUGUCCGUGGCUGCCAGCUCUGGCCACUGGAGGUACAGCAGCCGCUCACACUUCUGCCAGAAGCAAGGAUCUGGGAACAACUGGGCCAACGGGUACUGUGUUCACGGGCCCAGACACAAAGAAGCAAUCAUGGACCUGGUGCAGAGAGAAGCAGAGAGAUGUGACAGGCUGGGGGGAUUUUUCACAAUCAUGAGCAUGGCUGGGGGCACAGGAUCAGGCCUGGGGGCAUUUGUGACCCAGUGUUUGAGAGAUGCUUUUCCAACCUCCUUCAUACUGAACCACGUCAUCUGGCCCUAUGGCACUGGGGAGGUCAUUGUUCAAAACUACAACUCUGUUUUGACUCUGUCACAUCUGUACCACUCCUCAGAUGCCCUUCUUGUCCAUGAGAAUGAUGUCAUCCACAAGAUCUGUGCCCAGCUGCUGAAUAUCAAACAGAUUUCCUUCAGGGAUGUCAACCAAGUCAUUGCUCACCAGCUGGGCAGCGUUUUCCAGCCCGCUCACGCAGCAGGAGAGGGCUCAGGCUACAGCAGGAACCCCUUAGGAGAUUUGAUGGAGGCGUUGGUCCCACACCCCGAGUUCAGGAUGCUGGGCCUGAGGAACAUCCCCCAGAUGGCCGAGAGCUCCCUGCCCUACAGCACCUUCAGCUGGCCUGGCCUCCUCAAGCACCUCAGGCAGAUGCUCAUUGCUAAUGCUCAAAUGGAGGAAGGCAUUGAUUGGCAAGUACGACCGCCACACCCAGGCUCCUCCAUCCCCUCCACAAACAAACCCCUGCACUUCAACACCUCCAUUGCCAACCUGCUCAUCCUGAGAGGAAAAGAUGUGCACAGCGUGGACUUGGGAAGUUUCCAGGAUCCCUCGUUAUACACGUCGUGGCUAAACCCCCAGGAUGCGUUUAAUGCAUGGAAAACUCCCAGAGCAUUUAACAAGUAUGAAAAAUCGGCUGCUUUGGUCAGCAACAGCCAGUUCCUGCUGAAACCUCUUGACAGCAUCGUAGGAAAAGCUUGGAAUAUGUUUGCUUCCAAAGCUUACCUUCACCAGUACACAAAGUUUGGAAUCCAAGAGGAAGAUUUCCUGGACUGCUUCACAACCCUGGAACAAGUUAUCUCCAGUUACACCAAUCUGUGAUUGAUUUCUUUGCUAAGAUGGUGUGAAAUAGAGAUUUUCUGAAAGAACCAAGCUGGAAAACCUUCCAUCAGCUCCCUGAAGAUGUGGAGAGCGUCAGAGUGACAGGAAGUGAGCAGCCACGAUCAAAUAGACAUCACCUGCAGUGACAUUAAAAGGUGGUGGAGUAAUUCUCUACAUAAUUGAUAAAAUUAAUUAUGUAAAUAGAGCCUGGAAGGAGGCCUUUAUUUCAUUAACAGUUGUAAUUAAAGAGGUAGAUCAAAGGUCAGCACAAGCCAAUGG
Camarhynchus parvulus is the source of this 1651-nucleotide RNA transcript. It is a transcript of the gene named tubulin delta 1, with no coding region annotated. The record is from RefSeq and is a predicted model, not a curated record. The transcript is spliced from 9 exons. Lineage: Eukaryota; Metazoa; Chordata; Aves; Passeriformes; Thraupidae.